CCCGGACCGUGUAGAGUAGAGAGAGGGAGAGGGGAAGAAGAGGUGGUCGCAGGCGGCGGUGCCGGUCCGGCCGUACCACCACGCGGUUGGUCGUGGCGGAGGUAGGUAGUGGGUCGCGGUGGUGAUGAGGAGGAUGGAGGUCACGGAUGUAGGUGGUGUGGUCGGCGAGGGAGUGCGCGGCGUGGUCUGUGAGGCCGCGCUCACAGACCAGUGGGCGCACUCACACGAUGGGUUGAGGAAGCGGAGCCUAGGUAGAGCGUCUGGUGGUCACACGGUGGUGGUAGCGGUUGGGGGAGAAGGAAGAAAACGAGAGACGGACGACGACGAAGAAGAAGGGUGCGGGGACGACGACGAACGAGAGAGUUAGAGACGAUGAUGAAGAGGAAGGGAGGCGACGACGACGAAGAGGAAGAAGAAGUUGGAUGACGACGAGCGGGAGUUGGGAGAGACGACGAAGAGAGUGGGCCUACGGUGACGACGAUGGACAAGGAUUCGAGCGGACGACGACGACAAGAAGAAGAAUAGAGGUUCAGUGACGACGAGGAGGGGUGCGGGUUCGACGACGAGGAGAGAGAACGUAGUGGAUAACGACAAGAAGAAGAAGAGGAUUGGACGACAAGAAGAAGAAGAAGAGGAUAGGAACGACGACAAGAAAAGACUUGGUAGAACGAUGACAAUAAGGGAGAGAGACUAGAGUUUAAAGACAUUAAAACUCUUCAAAUAACAAGUCAUGAAACAUUAUAAGUCGUAACUCUACAAAUCAUGUUCAUUAUAAGUUUAAACUAUUUUCGAACGUUGGACCGUUAACAAGUCAAAGCAUGAACAUUUUAUAUCACGUAAAAUAAUACACGAGACUGAUCAAUUACAGGUCAACAAACCUAUUAUGAAUCAUACACACUAUACGAGAUACUAUAUCAUUAGAAGAUCAUAUACACACACUAGGGGAUACACAUACAAAGAACUGUAGAUGACAUUAGACAGACAUGAUCAUUGAAACGAUAUCAGAUUAACUACAAGUCAACAAUCAGAGACACGAUCGAUACAUGGUCACCGUAAAUACGAACACUAAAAGGUCACUUGAACAAAUUAAAGUCAAGUAUACAAUCGAGUUCAUGGAAACGAUAUAUUUAUAUACACACACACGAACACUAAAUUUAUUAGACAAAAGACAGGUCAUUAAAACAAAGAAGGGAGAAAGUAUGCGAACGAUCUAUAUAUACAGGUACAGAAAACUGAAGGGAACAGUGACUACAAUCGGAAAGUCAAAGAUUUUAUUAUACUUUUAUGGUUUUUCUGUUUCACUUCUAUUAGAAGUAGAGGGAAACAAAGACACAAUAAAGAAAACAACUAUAGGAACAAUCACAAGCCAAAUAAAAGAUAAAUGUAGUGAAUUAUAACACAAUGGAUCUAAAUCGGCUCGUAUCAGCGGCAGCGGAUCAGGGAUACCCCUUGUGCUGUGAGCGUCAAGCCCGUUUUAUAGGGCGACAUGAAAGUUAGCUAGUAAAACCGCGGCAACGGCCCCUGAUCGCAGCUCGCAAACACACUUCGAUAUCUGAUCCGAACCAUAUCAAGAACAAAUUUAAAGGUCAGUUUAAAUAAAGACACAAAGAAAAUGGAAAAAUGAAAAACAACGAAGCCGAAUAAUCCUAUGAUUGGGAGAGUGGUCACGAACUACAAACACUCGCACACAUGCUAUAGUAUGAUAAACAUCCGACUAACUGUCAACGUGAACUUGUAUACCGAAAUCAUGCACUAGAAACCAACGGUUCAUCAAACCUGUGUUACUGUCCCGGCUAAACCGGUAGAUAACUCCGGCUUUUAAACUCAACUCCGGACCUGAAUAACGAGAACAGAACGUCUUAGUCGAAUCUCCUAAUGGGUUACUUCUGGGAGUACUCGUGUAACAUUACAGGACCUCAUACGGUUAUGUCAGGUCAUGGUACCACAAAGGGUUCUAUGAUAGUUCCCAUACAACAAGUGUAAGAGAGAGUCUCUACGACGAUUCCUGACCAUGAUAAGAAACGGUAGUUCUAGUAUGUGAACCCUACUAUAAAGCGUUCGAAAGGACGUGUCUAUAAAAGGUGAAAUGUUCGUUCUACGUUAAGCACUGGUCUAGGAGUCAAAACGCGUUCUACCUUCACUCUUGAACAUACGUCGAACCCUCUCUACAUUCAUAAACGAAUCUUUUACAGGAUUAGUGCCCGUUUUCCUAACCAAUCACGAGGUCUAUAAGAUAUCUCCCGACUGUGUACGAAGUUCUCUAGAAUAACUAUACAGUCGACCACCUUGUUAAUACUUGUUCUGGCAACUCCUACGUUAAUAAGAGUAACUCUCGUAACCGAAGGUGGUUUACGUUACCCCAAUACUUUCCGGAUCAAGUUUAGGCUUCCAACGUUCGGCAGACGUUAGUCUUCGACACACAAGGUAUUCACUUGUCUUUAGUAGGUACCACGGAUUAUAAGUUUUGGUCGUACAAAGUAAGGCCCCUGUUGUUGUAAAGUCUUGACUUAAUCUAGGAGGUAUAUCUUUCUAACUAGAAUGAAGUUAAUAGGAACUACUACUAAUACUAUAAAAAGUUCUACUACGUUGGUAACAUCUAGUCUACCUUUGGUAUCAUCGUCUAGGUUAUGGAGUACCGUUACUUUGACAGGUUUUACUCAGUUUCAACGUUCUACAAAUACUCCUUGGAUGAGACUAACUACGAUUCAACUCUGUUGUUCUAUACCUCUUUAAGUGAACACAAUCAGUUGAUACACUGACCACCUUAAAUCAGCACAGUGGUUAACGGGUGUGAACACAAUGUUGACAUAGACCCGAUAAACAGUUCUUCUUUAGUAAUCGAGGUGGCCACCAACGGAGAUAGUGUCAAUUUCUCUCAUAGAGUCUCUUCUUAUCACUUCUACUCUAAGGUUGAGGACGUGUAUGUUGAUUCGUUCAGCCUCUGUAAGGUUCCUCUCUCUAUGUUCUCCUACUCAGUUUAAAUCUUCUCAACUAUGAAGUUACAGGACUCUUCUAGGGUGCACAACGACUCGACGUACUGACCACCUUCAGUAGUCACAGUGACAACUUUGAAUCGUCACUACCACUACUCCUCUUGUAACGAGUCUUUCUGUCGCUCCAUCACUAGAGUCGUGGGGAUGGUCUUGUACAAUCACGUAUAAGUGUCUACCCCUGUGAAGUCUGAGUUAAUCCACAACGACCAUCAUCGUGGUAUCUUAUAGGUGUCCUUCUCUCUGGAGUUGAACUUCUUCUAAAUGUUCAUCUGCUCCUUGUUCUACUGCUUCUCGAACUGAUGGGUUCGCUACUUCAACUUCUGUAUUAGAGAUAGAGAGGAUUUCUUCAUGUUCUUCGACGACAUCUACUUGAACUUCUUGGUCUUUACGUAAACGGGUAGCAGUAUGUUCUCGCACUACAUCGUCCAAAUAGAUUAGGAGAGCUGCUGUACACAGGAAUGCUAAAGAAACGAAGAUGGAAGGUAAUGUACUAUGGUAGUGAAUUCGAUCUGAACUUUUUGCCAAACGAACCUGUACUAGUAUGUAUGGGACAAUAACCGUAAAGAGAGUAAAUACUACUGUGAAUAAGAGGAGUACGAUCUGGAUACGAAUUACUAUUUAUAGUAGGAAUACGAUCGUAACUCGAAUGACUAAAGAUGGUAGGAUUUGUACACGAAAUAUCGAUACGAAUACAUUAACCUAUAAGCUAACUACUGAACCUCCCAUAAUAGGGAUGGUGGACGUAACAGAGAAAACAACUCUCAAGAAAGUCCAAAAACGAACACGUGCUAGGUGAUGUCCGACUGUUCCAAGCUCCACUGUAAGGAACCCUGGGACCACCUGAGUCUCGUACCACUGCUCCUCUUCGUUCCCCGUGUGUGUUUCUUCUCACUUGGACCUCGUAGGUACUCCUUCGUUUCCACUUCUCGACGUCAACCACUCUACUAGCUCGAUCACGAUGUAGUAAACUUCUCGGGCCGCUCGACAAAGUACUGGGUAAGACUUAUAGUAUUUAUGUACGACUUAAGAUAACGAUCAACCCGACGAACUUGGUCAAUAAUGAACAACAGUUCGACUUUAAGUGGAAACCGUAACACGAACUACACUUAUACACUUGACUCACAACUUACGGAACAUUUGAUCACUAGAUGUAUAACGAACGAAACGACUUUAAUCACUUUCAAUAAUCAAAACUCACUAGUUUACAUUGCGGGGCUCUGGCUGCGAAGUCUGCGGAAGGUAUAUAAAGCACUAGCAGC
RNAcentral lists this ribosomal RNA (4252 nucleotides) under Triticum aestivum (bread wheat). Its description in RNAcentral is "partial small subunit ribosomal RNA". Lineage: Eukaryota; Viridiplantae; Streptophyta; Magnoliopsida; Poales; Poaceae. The record is from RNAcentral.